UGGGGAAUUUUGCACAAUGGGGGAAACCCUGAUGCAGCGACGCCGCGUGAUUUAGAAGGCCUUCGGGUUGUAAAAAUCUUUUCUAUGGGAAGAAAAUGACAGUACCAUAGGAAUAAGGACCGGCUAAUUACGUGCCAGCAGCCGCGGUAAUACGUAAGGUCCGAGCGUUGUCCGGAAUCAUUGGGCGUAAAGGGUACGUAGGCGGGUAAGCAAGUUAGAAGUGAAAUCCUAUAGCUAAACUAUAGUAAGCUUUUAAAACUGCUCAUCUUGAGGUAUGGAAAGGAAAGUGGAAUUCCUAGUGUAGCGGUGAAAUGCGCAGAUAUUAGGAGGAAUACCGGUGGCGAAGGCGACUUUCUGGACAUAACCUGACGCUGAGGUACGAAAGCGAGGGUAGCAAACAGG
RNAcentral lists this ribosomal RNA (402 nucleotides) under bacterium. RNAcentral's name for it is "partial 16S ribosomal RNA". It matches the Rfam family "Bacterial small subunit ribosomal RNA", at positions 355 to 776 of the family's 1533-position model. The record is from RNAcentral.